This 466-nucleotide ribosomal RNA is filed under the name uncultured bacterium. Its description in RNAcentral is "partial 16S ribosomal RNA". It matches the Rfam family "Bacterial small subunit ribosomal RNA", at positions 28 to 507 of the family's 1533-position model. The record is from RNAcentral.
GAUGAACGCUGGCGGCGUGCUUAACACAUGCAAGUCGAACGGAAAGGCCCAAGCUUGCUUGGGUGCUCGAGUGGCGAACGGGUGAGUAACACGUGGGUGAUCUGCCCUGCACUUUGGGAUAAGCCUGGGAAACUGGGUCUAAUACCGGAUAGGACCAUCGUUUAGUGUCGGUGGUGGAAAGUUUUUCGGUGUGGGAUGAGCUCGCGGCCUAUCAGCUUGUUGGUGGGGUAAUGGCCUACCAAGGCGUCGACGGGUAGCCGGCCUGAGAGGGUGUACGGCCACAUUGGGACUGAGAUACGGCCCAGACUCCUACGGGAGGCAGCAGUGGGGAAUAUUGCACAAUGGGCGCAAGCCUGGUGCAGCGACGCCGCGUGGGGGAUGACGGCCUUCGGGUUGUAAACUCCUUUCGCCAAGGACGAAGCGUUUUGUGACGGUACUUGGAGAAGAAGCACCGGCUAACUACGUG